Molecule: ribosomal RNA, 138 nt
Filed under: uncultured bacterium
Lineage: Bacteria
Description: partial 16S ribosomal RNA
Rfam family: Bacterial small subunit ribosomal RNA
Source: RNAcentral
UAGGGAAUAUUGCGCAAUGGGCGAAAGCCUGACGCAGCGACGCCGCGUGAGUGAUGAAGGCCUUGGGGUCGUAAAGCUCUGUUGUACGGGAAGAAAAAAAUGACGGUACCGUAUAAGAAAGGAUCGGCUAACUUCGUG